Molecule: small nucleolar RNA, 107 nt
Filed under: Cephalotus follicularis
Lineage: Eukaryota; Viridiplantae; Streptophyta; Magnoliopsida; Oxalidales; Cephalotaceae
Description: Plant small nucleolar RNA R71
Rfam family: Plant small nucleolar RNA R71
About the family: R71 is a member of the C/D box family of snoRNAs containing the C (UGAUGA) and D (CUGA) box motifs. Multiple nearly identical copies of this snoRNA have been identified in Arabidopsis, and it is thought to function as a 2'-O-ribose methylation guide for 18S ribosomal RNA.
Source: Rfam by way of RNAcentral
AGACCAUGAUGAGGACACUCUAAAAGGAGGACUUUGAAACAUUCCAUACAUCAAGAGAACGAUUCAUUUGGACGCUGGCGAAACUGGAGAAUUUCGUUCCUAAGUUU